Molecule: long non-coding RNA, 573 nt
Filed under: Heterocephalus glaber (naked mole-rat)
Lineage: Eukaryota; Metazoa; Chordata; Mammalia; Rodentia; Bathyergidae
Description: lncRNA (ENSHGLG00000038684.1)
Source: RNAcentral
UAUAACUCGGCUGUGGUCUCACUGCCUACACCUAUUUUAAAUUUUCAGGAUGCAUUUUCUUCAGGCAGAGAUGCUAGCUCAGUCCAGGGCGUUUGCAGUGUUGAGUGCUGCGUUUAUUUGGUUUUCCUUCGGGUAAUUUGUGCAAUCUAAUGCUCCCCUUGCUUAAUUUCGCUGUGUAAAUCCACUCCUGCAAAGCACUUUUGCGUAAUUCCCAGGUGGUCUUCUUUGCUGGAGUCUUUCUUUGUACCUAAGUCCCCAUUUUCACCUGCUGGGCACCUCCUCAAGGCCAGCAGACAAAUCUGCCAUCUUCAGCAGCCCGGGAGGCUGAGUCCACCCGGACUCCAGGCCUUACUCCCUAGAUGGGUAGAGUGCUUUCCACCGGGACUCCCCGCCUUCCCCCUGCUGCUUCUACACAAGCAGACCGACUUCCCUGGAGACACAGUCGGGAGGUCUGAGCAGCUGGCCGUGGAAAGUCUUCAGGGAGCCGCCGUUCAGCAGGAAGUUCCUCUCCUCCAGCUGCAGCCCCCGCUCGAGCGCGGCCGUGCAGUCCUCGGAGGGCAGCGUCACGUCCCC